GAACCCAAUUGGCUCUUAUACUAAAACAGAAACAAGAUCUAGAAAAUAGAAGGAAAUAAUAAACAGUGAAGAUUUAGAUCUAAGUUCGUGGCGUUGUAACCAGAUUCACGCAUUCACAGCCUGUGGGAGCUUUAAAUGCUCUUGCAGAAUCUGUUUUCUAGCCUAUAAACUUAUAGAUCUGAAAAUAAAUUUGAACAGAAACAAUCAGCAAGUUUCUGAUGUGCAGGAUCCUCUUUACGAGGCA
Molecule: long non-coding RNA, 244 nt
Filed under: Ricinus communis (castor bean)
Lineage: Eukaryota; Viridiplantae; Streptophyta; Magnoliopsida; Malpighiales; Euphorbiaceae
Description: long non-coding RNA (RCOM_LNC000615)
Source: RNAcentral